AUUAAAAAAUGACCGAUGUUUUACGAAAGUAGGGCUGCUACUACUUUCGUAAAACAUCGCAAAUCAGUAAUGUCGCUUUGUUUUGUCAGCGAACUUCUCUGAUUGACGUUAAGGUUGUCAAGUCAAUAUCUUCAUUGCCAAUAUCUGUCAAUACUACAGAAUUUGGCAGAGAAAGGCAUUACAAAACGGGUAUCUGUUGACAUUGAGAAAGGAUGUUUUGCACUUUUGCUUUAUUAACAAAUGGAUGUGAUUUUGAAAACCUCAGACUGAUAUUGUCAAGAAUAUAUUUGAUUGCUUAUGGCAUCAACGAAAUUGCAGCAAAAUAAAAAAAUUUUAAAAAACCAUUGGAAAUAUAUUUGUCAGUAUUUUGAGAAAUCUAACAUGCAUUUUUAUCUGACUCGUAUGCAGUGUCUUUCCUAUUUGGAUAUACAUUAAAAAGUAGUUGCAGAAUCGAACUCUGAUAAAAUUAACUCUGUCCAAAGUAUUUAUGACCACUGAAGUAUCCACAGAUGUCACUAAAUGCCACUUAAGGAAUGGUAUUUAUUGAGAAAUUUUGGAGAAGUUUAACUUUUCUGAACUCUAUAAAAUAAAGAUAAGGUUUAUUUCUGUGUUUUAUGAACACAAGAAGAAAUUAUUGUUGAGAGAGUGUAUGAGAAUCUGUUUUAUCGCAGAUCACAAUCUCUAAUAAUUCAUCUCCUCAGACACAAGAAAAUACAAAGAGUACAUAGAAAUACAGUGACAGUUACCCCAAAUAGUCAUUCCAUUGUGUAUGAUUUACUUCUGAAACCUUUGUUAAAAUGUCUUCUAUGAGAAAAUAUUUAUCACAUCCUAAACAUAUACAUACAGGUGAAAGACUGCACCCUUGUGAUACGUGUCAAAAGAUAUUCCUUAGAAAGUAUGACUUGACUUGUCAUAAACGUGUUCAUACUGGUGAAAAACCAUAUUCUUGUGAUAUCUGCAACAAAACAUUUUCUCAGAAAGCUAAUUUAACUUAUCAUAAAUAUGUUCACACAGGAGAGAAACCAUACCACUGUGAUAUCUGUGGUAAAACAUUCUCUGUGAGUAAUAAAUUAAAGAGACACAUACGUAUUCACACAGAAGAGAAGCUAUAUCACUGUGAUAUCUGUGGUAAAUCAUUUUCUCAGAAUGGUCAUUUAACUCGUCACAUACAGAUACACACAGGGGAAAAACCAUUCCAUUGUGAUUUGUGUGGAGAAACUUUUUCACAGAGUGUUCAUUUGACUACACAUAAACGUAUUCACACUGGGGAGAAACCAUACCACUGUGAUAUAUGUGAUAAAACUUUCUCUCGGAAUAAUAUUUUAAUUAAUCAUAAACGAAUCCACACAGGUGAGAAACCAUACCACUGUGAUAUCUGUGGCAAAACAUUCACUCAAUAUAGUCAUUUAACUGACCACAACCGAAUCCAUACAGGUGAGAAACCUUACAAUUGUGAUAUCUGUGGAAAGUCAUUUUCCCGAAAUAGUAGUUUAACAAGUCACAAAAAGAUACACAAUAAACAAACAGUGAAAAAUGAAAGUUGUUGAAAAAGAUUGUCACAAUAGAAUAUUGGAUGCUUCCCAAGGAAGACUUGUUAAGCUAAAGUUUCUAGUAACAUCAUCAUCAUCAUCAUUUAACGUCCGUUCUUCAUGCUAGCAUGGGUUGGACUGAUAUAUAUAUAUAUAUAUAUAUAUUAUCUGACAGGCUUCUUUCUGUUUCUGUUCAUCAAAUCCACUCAUAAAGCUUCAUUCAACCCAGGACAAUAGUAGGUGCCAUGCAGAAGGAUUGAACCUGAAACAGCCCAGACAGAUUUAUUUAUUAUCAAGAACAUAUUUGUGCAAAUGCACCUCCAGUGGUCAACAUUAACAUUAUUAAAUAUCACAAUACAUAUAUAUAUAUAAAUAUAUCAUAUUUUGUAUAUAUAUAUGUGUGUGUGUGUCUGUUUUCCAUGCUGGCAUGGGUUGGACAGUUUGACAUGAGCUGGAGAGCUGCUCCAAGCACCAUGCUUUAGCAUGGUUUCUAUGGCUGGAAUCCUUUCUUAAUCCCAACCACUUUACAGAGUGUACUAGGUGCUUUUUACUUAGUUCCAGCAUGGAUGCCUUUUAUCUGAGGUUUUUAUGUAGCACCAGCAUGGGUACUUUUUAGGUGGCACUAGCUUGAUGCUUCUUAUGUGAAACCAGUACCUGCGGGGUCGUCAAGUAGCUUGCAAGAUGAUGACAUCACAGCUGAGAGAAGUGGCUGUGUGCCAGAUAAGAGGUUGGAGUAUCAUAUAGAUAGGGAUAGCUAUCUUAUUUGACUUCCCCAAUAAGACAAAAAUGCAGAGGGAGGUAGUAGUAGAGAGAGAGAGAAAGAUAGUGUGAGGGACGAUUAUUUAGAGAUAGGAAGUAAUGUUGAGAGGAACUGAAGGGGCCUGCAGUGGGAUGGGGUGGAGAGAUGGUUGUGGGUGAAUUUUGCCAGAGAACAAUUUAUGUGUGAAGAAAAUGUGGGGCUACGGCCAUAAAUGGAUGACCAUGAUUUUACUUAGCUUGACAUGUCUUCUCAAGCACAGUGAAUCCCUUGAAGUCUUGGUCCUUUGUCUUCUCAGUGAGGCUUAGUAUCUGAAGAUCCUUUCCCACCACGUCUUCCUCGGUCUACCAUUUAUAUAUUAUAUAUAUUUUUUAAAUUGCAUAUAUAUGUAUAACGGAUAUAAUUUAUAUAAAAAAUAUAUACAUAUAUAAUAUAUGCAUGUAUGUCCCUGUAGAGAAUUGAUGUAUAAAGAUCAAAAAUAAAUCUACAGAAUGUGUGCAUGUAUAUGUGUAUAUA
Molecule: unclassified non-coding RNA, 2802 nt
Filed under: Octopus sinensis (East Asian common octopus)
Lineage: Eukaryota; Metazoa; Mollusca; Cephalopoda; Octopoda; Octopodidae
Description: zinc finger protein 239-like, transcript variant X2
Source: RNAcentral